This 333-nucleotide long non-coding RNA is filed under the name Mustela putorius furo (domestic ferret). Its description in RNAcentral is "lncRNA (ENSMPUG00000030719.1)". The record is from RNAcentral. Lineage: Eukaryota; Metazoa; Chordata; Mammalia; Carnivora; Mustelidae.
GCUGUUUAGAGCAACCUCUGAAGAGCUAAAUAUGGAUGCAAGAUAGAGAGCAGGUGGUGGACAGGAAAGAGAGUAUGAAUUACUCCAACAAGAAGUUGCCAGUCUGCAGCCCAGAAGAUGGUUCUCACCAGAUCCCGACCAUUUUGGAACCCUGAUCUCGGACUUCCCAGACUCCAGAAUUCAUAUGAAAUCUUCCAGAGAAAUGCCUGGACCCAGACAUCAGGAGUUCCUGCGAGAAUUCCAGGAGAACAUUUGCCUCUUCUGGACGCUUCCACUCUAAAGAAACAGAUGCAAUUUCUAUAUUAUCCUUUUGGCACUUAAAUAGGUAGGGAA